GUAGGUGCUGGUUCGCUUACUGAAGUCCACCACGACUAUAAAGAAAGGUGCAGUCUACAUCUGUAGGCAACAUCUCUACUGUGCUAGAAGUUACAAGUCAUGUAUUACUAGCAGCAUGUUUAUUUGUGUCCACAGAUCAAAUAGAGGUGGCCCAUGAGGGUUAAGACAUGAUCGACUUGAAGCUAGAAAUGGCAUCUUUCGAAAACAUGCUAAUAUAGAAGCAUAGCCCUUUAUUAAGCAAAGUUUUCAAGUGGAACCUGCGGAAGGAUCAUUAUAGAGAAUGUGCCCUUUGGGUAGAUCUCCCACCCUUUGUUUACAUAUACUUUGUUGCUUUGGCAGGCCUGCUUUACUGCUACUGGCUUCGGCUAGUUAGUGCUUGCCAAAGGACCCAAAUUCUUAAUUGAUGAUGUCAGAGUAUUAAAAUAAUAAUUAAAACUUUCAACAACGGAUCUCUUGGUUCUG
This 462-nucleotide unclassified non-coding RNA is filed under the name rhizosphere metagenome. RNAcentral describes it as "partial ribosomal RNA internal transcribed spacer region". The record is from RNAcentral.